Molecule: non-coding RNA, 73 nt
Organism: Stegodyphus mimosarum
Lineage: Eukaryota; Metazoa; Arthropoda; Arachnida; Araneae; Eresidae
Source: Rfam
GGCUUCGUGGUGUAGUGGUCAGCACGCUCGAAUCGUAACCGUGAGGUCCAUGGUUCGAUUCCUGGCGAAGACG